This is a long non-coding RNA of Felis catus (domestic cat), 7193 nucleotides long. RefSeq lists it as uncharacterized. The transcript has 17 exons. The record is from RefSeq and is a predicted model, not a curated record. NCBI's taxonomy places the organism in Eukaryota, Metazoa, Chordata, Mammalia, Carnivora, Felidae.
AUACAUAUAAUAUAUACAUAUAUAUGUGUGUUUAUAAAUGUAUGUAUAUAAAUAUAUAUUUAUAGUUAAUGUGCAGAAUCCAGACCAUGAGUCAUAUAAAUUUGCUCAACUUUUUAUGUUGUUUGUUGCUGGGUCAUAUUUAAGUAUGAAGUUGUUUUUCUUUUUUCUUUUCUUUUUUAAAGUAAGCUCUGUGCCCAGCUUGAGGCUCGAACUCAUGACCCUGAGAUCAAGAGCUGAAUGCUGUACCAACUGAGCCAGCCAAGUGCCCAGAACAGGACACAGAGUAGGAGAGAGAAGUCUGAGGGCAGUGAAUGAGACCGGCUCACUUCUUCCUCGCCGAGGGAUUGUGACCUAAUGCAACCAUGGGCCACCUGGGAAAACAGCAGGCUGUUGCUGUGGACGCUGGAAAGAGCUGAGCUGUCGGUUUGCAGCCUAACUGGGCUUCCACUGGUCUUUCUGCAAAAUUUCAAGCACCAAUUCGACCGCUUUCUUAUCAACACUGCUGCUCUUGUGGGAACAUGUCUUCCUGGUUCAGCCAAGAAUUCUGCUGUCUGGGAUUGUUCAGGACAAAACCACAGUGCCCGUGGGGGGUGGUGUGUCUGUGUAAACUUGAACAUCAGAUUGCACUGGUAGGGCAGGUCCUUUGUUGGCCAGGCUUGACACCUUGUAUUCUUUCUUUCUCAGGCUGUGAAUAGAACAUGAUUUGGCAUCGGCCAAAUCCAUCUGCACAGAGUGAAAAGGAAGGCGCUAGGUGCAGGAGAGGGAGCCGGCAAAAGAGGAGGGAGUGGCUAAAUGAAUGAAAGCCUGAUGAGACCAUUGUGAAGAUUAAAAAGGCCUGUUUGUUAAACUGUGACCCCUUUAAAGGACAGUACAGGUUUUACCAAAGCAAGAACCCAGCCGGGCUACGGCUAAUUGCUGCCAUGUUUCUGAACGGUCUGCCUUUGGUCAGUGAUUUCCAUGGGAACAUGGCUGGCACCACGAGGAUGCGGCCGGAGGACGUGGGGGAGGGGAAGGCAGGGGCCCUCUGUUCACCUCCUCAGCCCCCCUGGCCCCCGCAGUCCCUGAAACCUCCCUGAGGAUCACAGAGUUCCGGGAGGAAGCUCUGUUCUCGGAGGCAGGGCACCCACGCCUGCACCUUGGCUCAUUGCUCACCUGGCUAAAUCACAUAGCCUCUCAGCCUUUGCUGAGAUCUCUUGCGUAUUUGGAAUAAAGGCACUAAUAUUCCUGAGCCACUUGAUCGGGUUGUUUGUGAGGCCUAAAAUAACACAUGUGAACACGCUCCAUAAACUGGGAUGAGCCGCGUGCAGGGGACUAUUGCCACGUUAACCUUAAUUCCUGCUCUUUUUUCUAGGCUGAGUUGCAUCUUGUUUCUCCCUUUGAAAACUCCCUUCCCCCGUGGCUGGUCAGUUUCCACCAUGCUGUACCUCUGGAUCAUGCUUGAGCUCUGACGUUGUACUGCUCCGUCUCUCUUGGUGGGGGAGCACGAAGGGACCCUCUUCCCUGAACAUCUAUUUCUCUUCCUCAGCCCUGUCUCCUUCAGAUCCCUGCACACAGGUUGUCACUUGUCCAUGAUGAAUGUUUAGUGAAGGGUCUUCUGGAUUCUUGUUCUUCACCCGAAUGAGGCCUCUUUCUUCCUUCCUACCUACCUCGAUGCAAAGCAUUCAAUGAACUCCUUCAAAGGAAUCUGAGGAGUCACUUUGUCCUCGUGGGAGCACAUGCCCCCUUCUGGCCUUUGCUCCUUUUGCUGCCUGGCCCAGCUUACCCUGCGUCUUGACAUCAAUCCCUGCAUCUGACACAGCCCCCAUCCGCUGGAGUAUCGGCUUCAUCUGGGCUUUUUCGGUGUGAGGACCAGCCAGCGCUGUCCCCAAGCCUCCCGUGCAGGUGUACAAUGUAGUGACUCAACAAUUCUCUACAUGACUCCAUUCUCAUCAUGAUUUCUGUUUCCUGGAUGGGCUGUAGCUUCCAGCAGAAUACUGAGUGAUCACUUUGUGAAGGGAGUCUUGGUCCUGAUCCUCAUGAGGUAUAAUAUUCUGGUGAAGUUAUACGAGAAGCUCCAGCUUGGGAUCAUAUUUCCUCAUCAGCCAGACAUCCUGGGAUGCUGAUUGCUAGCCUGGAGAACCGCGCUGCCUGGCUAUUCCUUCGUGAGACUCUUGCGUCUUCUGGAACUACCACUUCCGCAUCCUGUGGGACCACCCCUCGUGAGGACCUACCCAAUGGAGCAGGCCCCCUGAACAUGCUUUAGGAACUGCCACACCCCUGGAAUGUUAUGCAAGUACUCCAUGGCCUGCUAAAACGUCUAGCAUUGUGAACUCACCAUAUGCCUAGCAAGCAAGAGUGCCCCCACAUCUCUCCCUGCACUUGCUGCCUCUCGGAAUCCACAGACGGGGCCUGCCAAUUGGGCCUUCUUCAGGCCGUGUGCAGUAUACCAAGGUAUCCUAUUUAUUGAUCUUCACCAUUCUGUCCAAACUGGUGUCUAUAAGAAGAACGUCAAAUCAGCCUGAUGGAACACAAGACAUGUCUGACAAUGCUGUAGAGCCUUUCCCAGUACCUCUGAGGAGGACACAUGCUCGGGGAAGUAAGAACAGGCGCUUGCAACUCUGUGGCUGAUAGAGUGGAGUUGAGGGUAAAGUACAAAAGCCCCACGGAGUCGAGUGCCCUUGGCUGAAUGUUUUCCUUGGUCAGGAUCACUCCAUGAAUUCCUACUCAAACACAGUACCCACAGCUGAGGCAGGACAAGCAAAACGACACCUUGAGGGAUCUUCAAUCUCCCUGGAAUAUAUAAUCCUCUCAAAAUGAUCUAAAAUGGUGUGGAUGUAACCUUAAAGGUGGACCUCCCUCGGUGAAUAUUAUAGCAACGCAAAAACAGAAAAGCCACUUUGAAAAAUGAUUCAGCAGUUUCUUAUAAGAAUUAAACAUACACCUGUCAUUCAACUCAGCAAUCUCAUGCUUAGGUAUUUAUUUAAGGUAGAUGACAACACAUAUUCCCACACAAAAAAUGGGAUAGGAAUGUUUAUUCAUAAUGACCCCACUGUGGAAAGAACCCAGAUGUCCUUCCACUGGUGAAGAGAUAAACAGUAGUACAUUUAUACGAUGAAGGGAAUCCUACUGAGCAAUAAAAAGGAACUAGCUACCGAUGCACAGAGCAACAUGGAGGGAUCUCAUUAUGCUGUAUGAAAGAAACCAGACUCAGAAGCCUGCAUGGCGUAUGAUUUCCUUUAUAGUACAUCCUGGAAAAGGCAAAAUUACAGGGUCAGAAAACAGGUCAGUAGUGGCCAGGGGCUAGGUGUGCAAGGGAAGGUUGACUUCAAGAGGGCAUAAAAGAAAUUUGGGGAGUGCUGAUGCUCUCUUGUAUCUUGAUCACAAUGGUCAUCAUACACCCGUAUGCAUUUGUUAAAAUGCAUGGUCCUGUACACUAAAAAAAGGGUAAACUUAGUCCAAGUUACACCUCAAUGAACCCAACCUGAAACUAAAAUCUCAGUGUCAAAGGCUCAAUGAUUAACAAAGGCAGACGUCAAAACAACAGAUUAACUUCCUGCCUACAUCAAGAUCUGGAGGCCUUCUCCCAGGCCGGUCCGGUGGGACUCAGAAGCCGUGUACUACUCAGUUACCUUUGGGCACAGAGUUUAAAUAAAGCACUAAUACAUAAAUCAAUACGGCCACUGUGCCAGCAUGCUACUGUGCAUGAGGUUACUCAUUUAGGAUGUUCUGAAGCCUGUUCUUCAUGAGACAGCUUCUCACAUUCUGACAUUAAGGUGCUAUUUAUUUUCCAGGGUGGUGCAUGGUUCCUACUUUGCUUCUCCUAGAGUUCUAACUGCUUGGAUGCCACAGGUUAUGUGAUCCCCGGAGUCAAGCAAUUAUUUCAGACAGAGAACUCAAGCCUGCCCUGUGCUUGUGUUUUCUAUAAAUGAAGUGAAAGGUUUACUGAGAAUCCACUAUAUGGAAAUAAAUGCUAAGGGCAGAUGGAAUGAGAAACUCGAAGAUGCAGCCUUUCAGCAGCCUACUACAGCUACCCAAGUACGUCCAGUGGAAGGCGGAGUGUGAUAUGUGCUCCGGAGAAACCCUCCACCCCAAAACCCCGUGAGUGAGGAAGGAAGGCUGGUCACCUGGCUGAGCUCUUCCCCUGCUGCCACCUACGAGAGAGUCUGGUUGAAUCCAUCCAGAAGAACUGGGAAACCAGAGCUCCACAACCUACCUCUCCCAAUCACCACCACCCCCCACCACCAGAAAUUGCUUCUUCUGCACUGAAGUAUGAAACCUACUGGUUACUCUUAUUUGGCAUCUGUGAUCAGACACAUUGUAUUUGAGUUCUUGGAUACAACACAGAUGAAAGAAACAGCCACAAUAGGAACUUAAGCAGCCAACUAGCAACCUGGUCAGUUGGAGUUGGAGUCUUGUGCUGUGUGCGGAAGGUUUCCUAGCAAGUGGACCACAUCACCUUCACACGGACGUUUCCAUUUGGAAGCAUCCCUCGUUUCUUUGUCUCUGGGAAGGUCUAGGAAUGGAACGAGGACUUCUGACUCUAGCUCAGUGCACUCCAAAGUUCUGGAUAUGGGAUGAUCCAGCGUUGUAAUUUACAAUACUGGAACGGUCACCGGGAAAAGGCCAAGGGGAAAACACCCCGGAAGUCACAACAGGAAGAUGGCGCUUCGGAGUAGGAGAAGAAAGCACCUAUGUUAAGUGAGGCUUAACCUCCCAGAUGAGACAGAAAACAAGGGUCCUUGAUCUCUUGCAGUCAUUUGAAGUGCAUGAAGAUCUCACCUAAAAGGGCGAUGCUAAGGCCCUGACCCCAGGCAGUUACGCUUCCUUUUGCUGCCCCAUAAACUCCACCUGGACACGCGGUCCGUGCAGCAGUUCAGCAACCCACUCUGAGGUAAGCACGUACCUAAGUCAUCAGAUGACAUCAUAAGCACAGUUGUGCAGGGGGUCGUUCUUGAACGAAAGGAGAUUUAGAGAUGAAAAACAUUUAUAAAAGUUAGUCUCGGCAAUAAAAAUCUGCUGGGAUUAUUAUUUUUUAAAAAGCCUCACUGCACAAAUGUCAAGGUUGCCCAUUAUGCUGAGCUUUGGUUGGCAGCGGCCUGUAGGCCCAGCAACCACCUGGUUCCUCCACGGCGCCCAGACCUCCGUGGCCAAAAGUAGCUGGUUGGCUGCCCUGGAAGGCAAGAGGGACCAAGCCGUCUGAGACUUGAAAAGAUGUGCGUGGUCAGGCUGCCCCAAGUCUCCAAGUGGGGCCCGUGAGUUAGCUGCUUGCUCAAGACAGGACACAAGGAGUGUGAGAACACAAAAGGUACCAGGGGCUGUGGCCCAGACUAGUGGAAGGAGGGUGGAGAUGGGGGCAUUUCUGAACAAGUCACAACAGGAGGCAGUGACAAGAGGAGGAAAAGCCAGGAAUGAAGAGGAGGGGAUAUAAAGACGAAAGAGCAGGAACGGAUGGCAGCUACAUGAAGCAUUGAGAUUGGGGCCAACGCUGGAACUCUGGCACUGGGAUUCAAUUAUCACUGCCAUUUAAACUGGUGGUGAGAGGCACCUGGGUGGCCCAGUCAGUUAAGCGUCCGACUUCGGCUCAGGUCAUGAUCUCACGGCUUGGGAGUUCGAGCCCCGUGUCAGGCUCUGUGCUGACAGCUCAGGCUGGAGCUGCUUUGGAUUCUGUGUUUCCUUCUCUCUCUGUCCCUCUCCUGCUCGUGCUCUGUCUUUGUCUCUCAAAAAUAAACAUUAAAUAAAUACACUGGCGGUGAGUAUACGCGUGCACAUCCUUCAGAGGGCUUGCAAGUGUUCACCUGUAACUCUCUGUGGCCCUCUAGCAUACCUGGCAACUAUUUCUUAAGCAUCCUUUCUUGAGAAACUGGAAGGUGAGAGGCCCUGCCCUCCAGGGGCUGCUGACCUGGAGGGAGUGCGGCUACAAGAGGGAAAGGUCCUGCUGACAGCAUACAACCAGCCCAAAGAGGAACAUGGAGAAGCUUCCCAAAGGCUCUAAUGCUUGAACUGCAAUGUGGAGUUAGUCAAGUAGAAAGGAGGUGCCACCCAUGAUAGGUACUCAGUCACUGUUUGUUAAUUAAUUUCAGUUCGUUCCGAUUUGUAAUGAUUACCUGGAAAAUCGUUCAAGGGCUAGGAGUUCGUUCUUAUCCCCACUGUUUUUAUUAUGUCGAUGAAAAAGAUAAACCUGUCCAUUUUCGAGUCUAGGGAUAUAAUCCAAAAAAAAAAAAAAAUACUAGACCUUACCUUUGGCUGAGAUGGGGAGUACACUUAUAGUUUUUCUAAUUAGGAGACAUCUUCUUGGUCUACUUGUCUCAUAGCAAAAAGUUUUAAAAGCUUUUGAAAAGAUCACGUUUUGCUCACUUGAAAUAUGUGUGUAUAUUUUAGCAUAAACUACACUUGGCAGCUGCUAACAUAAUUGGAUGGCUACGCCUUGCAAAAGCUUGAUUUCUUUUUAAUCAAAUUUUUAGAAUCAUACUGGGUUUUUUGCCAGUGCUGCAAUAGUGAGCAAUAAAUACAUCAUUAGAUCAAUGGUGUUCUGAUGAUGGAUUACUCCAAAGAUACUUCCAGCCAAGAAGACUAAGCCCAUAGUCUCAUUGUGCAAAGAUGAAUAAAAUAUUGUUUAAAACACAGAUACGCAGUUAACAUAACAAGGAAGAAAACAUUGCAAAAUAGAACACAACAGCCAUGGGUUUAUAAUGUAGCAAUAUUGAUCACGGAUUUUCCUAAGUACUCUAGAGCAGCCAUGCUAUUAUAUAUGCCUCUGAUUAGACCCAGAGAUGAGAAGGAAAAAGUUAUAAAAAAGGAAACUAACAGAGGAAGGCCUGCUGCUAUAAUAAAUUAUUUAAAGCAAGCAGGGCGAGCGGGUUGUGAAGACAAUAUAAAACAGAAUCAAUGCCCCCAAGAAACCCCAAACCAUCAGCACCUCUAUAAAUUUCUCACCACUCUGUCUGGCAUGUUCCUGGGGCUUCUUUCCCAGCACCCUCCCCAUCCCAUCCCACCCCACCCCUACUCUUCACAUUCUGUCUGUUCGUUUCUGAGAACUUAACAUUUGUUUUUCUUCUGUAACCUAGGAUGUUGUCUUCAGUUAUAUUUCUCAUCUUCUAUUAGAAGAGUGUCUGCAAGGCCACAGAUGAACGCAUCUGUCACUUCAAUUAUCUCGAUCUUAAAUUUCCCGUGGAAACAAUAAGCUGGUAAUAUCUAACAUGAUACUUACAACAUGA